This 460-nucleotide ribosomal RNA is filed under the name uncultured bacterium. RNAcentral describes it as "partial 16S ribosomal RNA". It matches the Rfam family "Bacterial small subunit ribosomal RNA", at positions 338 to 795 of the family's 1533-position model. The record is from RNAcentral.
CCUACGGGAGGCAGCAGUGAGGAAUAUUGGUCAAUGGACGAGAGUCUGAACCAGCCAAGUAGCGUGAAGGAUGACUGCCCUAUGGGUUGUAAACUUCUUUUAUAUGGGAAUAAAACGUUCCACGUGUGGGAUUUUGUAUGUACCAUAUGAAUAAGGAUCGGCUAACUCCGUGCCAGCAGCCGCGGUAAUACGGAGGAUCCGAGCGUUAUCCGGAUUUAUUGGGUUUAAAGGGAGCGUAGGUGGAUUGUUAAGUCAGAUGUGAAAGUUUGCGGCUCAACCGUAAAAUUGCAGUUGAAACUGGCAGUCUUGAGUACAGUAGAGGUGGGCGGAAUUCGUGGUGUAGCGGUGAAAUGCUUAGAUAUCACGAAGAACUCCGAUUGCGAAGGCAGUUCACUGGACUGCAACUGACACUGAGGCUCGAAAGUGUGGGUAUCAAACAGGAUUAGAUACCCCAGUAGUC